This 274-nucleotide ribosomal RNA is filed under the name uncultured bacterium. RNAcentral's name for it is "partial 16S ribosomal RNA". It matches the Rfam family "Bacterial small subunit ribosomal RNA", at positions 523 to 796 of the family's 1533-position model. The record is from RNAcentral.
AUACAGAGGGUGCGAGCGUUAAUCGGAAUUACUGGGCGUAAAGCGCGCGUAGGCGGUCUAUUAAGUCAGAUGUGAAAUCCCAGGGCUCAACCUUGGAACUGCAUCUGAUACUGGUAGACUAGAGUUUUGGAGAGGGAAGUAGAAUUUCAGGUGUAGCGGUGAAAUGCAUAGAGAUCUGAACGAAUACCAGUGGCGAAGGCGACUUCCUGGCCAAAAACUGACGCUGAGGUGCGAAAGCGUGGGUAGCAAACGGGAUUAGAAACCCUAGUAGUCC